Molecule: long non-coding RNA, 256 nt
Filed under: Fukomys damarensis (Damara mole-rat)
Lineage: Eukaryota; Metazoa; Chordata; Mammalia; Rodentia; Bathyergidae
Description: lncRNA (ENSFDAG00000021742.1)
Source: RNAcentral
GCUUUUUCUGAUGGAAGCGUCACACUGAAAUGGGGAUCAGAGCAAGCAACAAAAGAACUUACAGCUGCAACAGUGAACCUCAUAUACAAUCAACUAUGAGGCAGACAUCUGAUGAAGUAAAAGAGGCAUGGAGAAAGGAAGUGUUCUCGGCGACAUGAUAAAAGACACUGAAGACUCGUGACCCCCUUGGACCCUAACAAGGAAAAGCUAGGAAAUGCUUUUCAUUCUUCAUGUUUGCAUUAAAGUCCAGGAAGCA